AGUAACACGUGGGUAACCUGCCUUAUAGUGGGGGAUAGCCUUUCGAAAGGAAGAUUAAUACCGCAUAAGAUUGUAGUAUCGCAUGAUAUAGCAAUUAAAGGAGCAAUUCGCUAUAAGAUGGACCCGCGUCGCAUUAGCUAGUUGGUGAGGUAAUGGCUCACCAAGGCGACGAUGCGUAGCCGACCUGAGAGGGUGAACGGCCACAUUGGGACUGAGACACGGUCCAGACUCCUACGGGAGGCAGCAUG
This 248-nucleotide ribosomal RNA is filed under the name uncultured bacterium. RNAcentral's name for it is "partial 16S ribosomal RNA". It matches the Rfam family "Bacterial small subunit ribosomal RNA", at positions 109 to 353 of the family's 1533-position model. The record is from RNAcentral.